UGUGAAAGAUUUAUUGCCUAGAGAUGAGCUCGCGUCUGAUUAGCUAGUAGGUGUGGUAAUGGCGCACCUAGGCGACGAUCAGUAACUGGUCUGAGAGGAUGACCAGUCACACUGGGACUGAGACACGGCCCAGACUCCUACGGGAGGCAGCAGUGGGGAAUUUUCCGCAAUGGGCGAAAGCCUGACGGAGCAAUAC
RNAcentral lists this ribosomal RNA (196 nucleotides) under uncultured bacterium. Its description in RNAcentral is "partial 16S ribosomal RNA". It matches the Rfam family "Bacterial small subunit ribosomal RNA", at positions 199 to 397 of the family's 1533-position model. The record is from RNAcentral.